UUUUUUUUUUUUUUUUUUUUUUUUUUUUUUUUUUUUUUUUUUUCUUUUUUUUUUUGCUUUAACGAGCAAAGAGUAAAAUGGCGCACGCGUUGAACAUACCUUCUGUUUAAAUUCAAAGCACCGCCAGUUUUGAGCGCAAACGCAAUUUGUAGCACGUUAUCCGCAAAUCGAAGCUUGCAUUAUUCACCAGAGUCGCAUCUAUAGGCCACACGCAUAGAUAAUAAAAUGAAUAAUUUUUUUACUUACCCUCCACCAACAGGUGGAUAUCCACCACUGGGGACAGCACUGCCAGGUCUUCUACUAAACAUGUCUGCUUGUGGUCCAGGACCAGUACUAUAACUAGGUGCCCCAGUGCUGUAGCUGGGUCCAGUACUCAUUGGCCUGUUAAAUGGAGGCAUAUCAUUAACAGGGGGACCAUCCCUCCUGUCAUAGGCCAUUGAAGCUCCCUGACUUACCCCCCCGGGCCCACCCAUCAUAUCCCCAGGCCCGCCCGGAUAA
Molecule: long non-coding RNA, 498 nt
Organism: Apis dorsata (giant honeybee)
Lineage: Eukaryota; Metazoa; Arthropoda; Insecta; Hymenoptera; Apidae
Exons: 2
Source: RefSeq, a predicted model, not a curated record